CUAAAACCCACCCAGGCCGCUUUGGUGCACUAAGCUCUCGAACCUAAACUAAGACAUUGAUGGAACACUAUAUAUAUAGCGAACUUUCUAGACUAAUUAAAAGUCCAUGUGUGACUUGUCAGAUAAAAAUAGCCAACGCUUAUAUUUAAGAAUAAACAAGUCAUGAAAAGAAAUAUUACUAUACAUUGUACGGACAUUUUGACUAAUUCACUAGCUUUGAUACAGCGGAAGCAAAAACAUCGAGCGUAGCAAAGAUAAAAAAAAAAUAUAAUGCUAAAAUUAUAUAUUUUCAAAUCAAAGGGAAAAGCGUACGCAAUGUCGCCCGGAAUCCGAC
Molecule: long non-coding RNA, 334 nt
Filed under: Mytilus galloprovincialis (Mediterranean mussel)
Lineage: Eukaryota; Metazoa; Mollusca; Bivalvia; Mytilida; Mytilidae
Source: RNAcentral